Molecule: ribosomal RNA, 425 nt
Filed under: uncultured bacterium
Lineage: Bacteria
Description: bacterial SSU rRNA
Rfam family: Bacterial small subunit ribosomal RNA
Source: RNAcentral
GGGGAAUUUUGCGCAAUGGGCUAACGCCUGACGGAGCAACGCCGCGUGGAGGAUGAAGGCCUUCGGGUCGUAAACUCCUGUCGACCGGGACGAACGUAGUCUGGCCCAAUACGCCGGGCUAUCGACUGUACCGGUGGAGGAAGCCACGGCUAACUCUGUGCCAGCCGCCGCGGUAAUACAGAGGUGGCAAGCGUUGUUCGGAAUUACUGGGCGUAAAGGGCGCGUAGGCGGUCUUGCAAGUCCUGUGUGAAAUCCCUCGGCUCAACUGAGGAACUGCACAGGAAACUGCUUGGCUUGAGUUCGGGAGAGGGAAGCGGAAUUCCGGGUGUAGCGGUGAAAUGCGUAGAUAUCCGGAGGAACACCGGUGGCGAAGGCGGCUUCCUGGACCGACACUGACGCUGAGGCGCGAAAGCUAGGGGAGCAAA